This is a non-coding RNA of Paramuricea clavata, 238 nucleotides long. Lineage: Eukaryota; Metazoa; Cnidaria; Anthozoa; Malacalcyonacea; Plexauridae. The record is from the annotation of a GenBank genome assembly.
AAGUUGUUGACAGCAUAUGUCAGCUAAAAAUAUAUAUAAGUUUUCAAUGACAAAAUGGUCUGCAUUUGUUUUAAGAUUGGAUGUUUUUAUACGAUAUUUCAUCUCCUUUUACUAUUCGUCAUCCUAUUUGAAGGCAAAACUGCCUCGCCAACAAUAUUAAACACCGCAUCAAUUGGUGAACAAGACUUAUUAACAUUUACCAGGCAGACGGAAGGCAAAUAUGGUAAGUUAAUUCACU